ACCAUACAUGUCCCUAAUGGGACGGUUUUCUUUAACCGUUGCAAUAGUUUUAAUAUGGCAACAGUUUUGUUUCUAUUGCAACGAUUUUAAAUUCCCUCCCAAAUUUUUCUUAUUUUCACUGUAGACCCGCCUAACACAGAGACCACAUUAUUUUUCCUUUUAGCCAAAAAUCGUAAAAUCUGUAUUGAACCAAAUUAAACACUGAACUCUCUCUCUCUCUCUACUAAAUUCAUCACCCACUUCACUCUAUCUCUCUCUACUAAUUUCUACUUCACUUUGCACCCUAAUUAUCAAUGCUCUACUGAAUCUCGUAGCCGGGUUACUCAAUUCCAGCUCGAAGCAUUGUCAACUCUCAAACGCCUCAAUUCGUUGCUCGUCGAAAGGUAUCGAAAAUGAAGAAAGGGAAGGAGACAGUGAAGACGUUGAUCUUACUUGAGAAGAUCUUUUAUGAAGCUUUCUACAUGUUCUAAGAAUCUUUUUGCUAGCGAACAUUUUGAAACUUAUCCUAAAUCUUGAAAUGUAAAACUUAAUUAUGCAUUUUGGGUUGAACAUUUUGGUUUUACGGGUAUAUAUGUUGGAUUAGGAAUGUUGGAUAUUUUGGAUUAUGAAAAAUUGUGUUUUCAGAU
This is a long non-coding RNA of Lycium barbarum (goji berry), 626 nucleotides long. RefSeq lists it as uncharacterized. Lineage: Eukaryota; Viridiplantae; Streptophyta; Magnoliopsida; Solanales; Solanaceae. The transcript is spliced from 3 exons. The record is from RefSeq and is a predicted model, not a curated record.